Molecule: microRNA, 22 nt
Filed under: Caenorhabditis elegans
Lineage: Eukaryota; Metazoa; Nematoda; Chromadorea; Rhabditida; Rhabditidae
Description: cel-miR-47-5p
Gene: cel-miR-47-5p
Source: miRBase by way of RNAcentral
AAGAGAGCAGUCUAUUGACAGU